Molecule: non-coding RNA, 1557 nt
Organism: Oryzias latipes (Japanese medaka)
Lineage: Eukaryota; Metazoa; Chordata; Actinopteri; Beloniformes; Adrianichthyidae
Source: RefSeq, a predicted model, not a curated record
AUAAGUGAAUCUGUGUCUGUGUAAAGACAUAGGAACUAUUGUUACUAAGUUCAAAAUCUUCAAUUGGAUCUGUACAAUAGAGCUCGUCUAGCUUGUCACAACAGCUUUGUAAGGAUUAAUGACUGGGCCUUGGGUAAACAUUGAUGAUCCGCCAUCAACCUGCACGAAAUGAUCUAACGUGACCCUGAAGUCGGCACGCGGGCUUCCUCUAUCCUCUUAAAUGAAAUUAGGCUGAAUCAGCAGCUCUGCUCUUCAACUUCUCCUGCAGUACUGUUCAGUCCGUGUGAAAAGGCAAACUGGAGCUUUUGAAAGAAAGGUUUUGGGGGUGGAAACAGCCGAAAGUGAUUCGUUUGUUGUCGCGAGGCCGCUGCAGGAUGUUGUUGGCAAGGCGGAGGCAGCGGGGUGCUGCGGCCCACGUGACCCACAGGACCGCAGCACAGCCACAGGCUCAAGGAAUCACACAAAAGUGAUCAAGUCAAAAGAAAGAAGCAAGACUGGAUCAUAAAGGUGAAAGAUCUCAGGUCUUUGGGUCAGAAGGGAUGCAAGAGUUCUUACUAGCAUGAAAUGGAGUUUGAUGAAUAAAUCCAGCGAUGAAAGGUGGUGAAUGGUGAUGAGGAGUAGCCUGAGACAAAUAAAGACCAGGAUAAUAGGUCUGUUUGGAUGCCCGACAACAACCUGGAGACGGUUGCCAGGGUGAAUGGAGGCUGUCGUUAAGGGGGAGCUUGAUUUGCCAGCUUGUUCAACUACCAGGCCAUGUGAACAACCCAUAUAUAGUUGAGAAAAAAAAGAUUUAUUCCUCGGAGAGAGAGCUAGCUGAGACCUAUUGCAGGUGUGUACAACGCCCUGCUGUGUUGGUGUUAUUCACUUAAUGAAUUCUGCACAACUUUCAUCUUCUAUGAGUGAUCUCGUGAGAAAUGAAAGAUGUUUGGGACAAUGCAUGAGGCAUAAAGGUGGGGGUCCUCCACUUCAAUAAUCCCUCUAUAAUGCAAUGCUUUGUUAGUAAAUCUGAUGACCGGUCUGUUCUAGUACUUUAAUGUAAACCACAGCAGUAUAGUUCAUGAUAAAUGGUUUACAAAUGACCGAAAAAUACAAUGCAAUGUGCAUCCCUGUAACCUCCAAUAGGAAAAACAAAAGAAAUGUUUCUGACUUAAAGGCUGUGCUAGCAGUGCACCCUCUGCAGGGCAGGUAGGGAACUACACUUGAAUGAAUCAACUUUUAAAUUUCUUGCCAUGACAUUAAUUUUUUAUUCCAAAACUAUAAUAACAAUAGUAGAAAGAAAAUUCUUAUAAUUUAAGUUAGUGUAAAAGGUAUAAACAGGAGAAAGGGAAAUCAUAAAUCAGUCAUUUAUUACAUUUGCUGAAAUUCUGGCCUUCAGCUUCUGAUCUGACCACAAAAAGCAGUAGAUCACCCUGCAGUUUAUUCGAGACAUUAAAUGUGGUACAUUUUUACUAUAUAAUGCCAUGUUUUGAUUGAAAUAUCAGUUAAUAAAUCCCAAAUCUCAAUGCUCAACUUUCUCUGGCCAUUUACCUUCAACAUACAAGUCUCAUUUAAAAAAAA